AGGAGGUUUACCAGGAGCAGGAGUAGUAGGUGGAGGAGCAGGAGUACCAGGGGGCAUACCAGGAGGAGUACCAGGAGCAGGAGGAUACUCAGCAGCAGCCAAAGCUGCAAAGUAUGGAGCAGGAGUUGCAGGAGCAGGCCUCGGAGCAGGAGCACUUGGAGGGUUAGGAGGAGUGCCUGGUGGAGUACCAGGAGGAGUAGGAGCAGGGGGGUAUUCUGCUGCAGCCAAAGCUGCUAAAUAUGGUCUCGGAGCUGGUGGUUUGGUGCCUGGGGGUGGAUAUGGAGUCCC
This is a long non-coding RNA of Lampris incognitus (smalleye Pacific opah), 288 nucleotides long. RefSeq lists it as uncharacterized. The record is from RefSeq and is a predicted model, not a curated record. NCBI's taxonomy places the organism in Eukaryota, Metazoa, Chordata, Actinopteri, Lampriformes, Lampridae. The transcript is spliced from 3 exons.